AGAGUUUGAUCCUGGCUCAGAUUGAACGCUGGCGGCAUGCCUUACACAUGCAAGUCGAACGGUAACAGCACUUCGGUGGCUGACGAGUGGCGAACGGGUGAGUAAUACAUCGGAACGUGCCCGAGAGUGGGGGAUAACGCAGCGAAAGCUGUGCUAAUACCGCAUACGAUCUACGGAUGAAAGCAGGGGACCGCAAGGCCUUGCGCUCACGGAGCGGCUGAUGGCAGAUUAGGUAGUUGGUGGGAUAAAAGCUUACCAAGCCGACGAUCUGUAGCUGGUCUGAGAGGACGACCAGCCACACUGGGACUGAGACACGGCCCAGACUCCUACGGGAGGCAGCAGUGGGGAAUUUUGGACAAUGGGCGAAAGCCUGAUCCAGCCAUGCCGCGUGCAGGAUGAAGGCCCUCGGGUUGUAGGACUGCUUUUGUACGGAACGAAAAGGUCUUUUCUAAUAAAGAAGGCUCAUGA
Molecule: ribosomal RNA, 468 nt
Filed under: uncultured bacterium
Lineage: Bacteria
Description: bacterial SSU rRNA
Rfam family: Bacterial small subunit ribosomal RNA
Source: RNAcentral